CUACUUCAGACAUGCCACAAAAGCUGCACCAUGGGCUCACAGGUGGAAUCUUAAAGGCACAGUAUGAAAAUAAGCCUGUGCAUGCAAAACAGGUCUCAAAGUCAUGCAACAGCACCACUACAACUUGCAAAUAAUGUCAGACUUGAAAUGAAGCUACAUGUCUCACAAGGUACGAAACAGUAUGUAACACAUAUGUAGACAAUUACAGAUUUCCCCCCAGUUAACAUUAUGUUUAACGUAAUAAUUUUGUUUCUAAUUUAUAGAAUAGCAUUAGAAUACACAAAAAUUUCUUAGAGUCAUAAGAAUAUGACAGCUUUUCUUCUUCAAGCUUUGUUAAGUCUGAAAUAAUUGAGUGUUUAUGUUCUUUUACCUUAAAAUUUAAUCACAGAAAAGUGAUUUUAUGUCACAUUGUUUUUCU
Molecule: long non-coding RNA, 418 nt
Filed under: Homo sapiens (human)
Lineage: Eukaryota; Metazoa; Chordata; Mammalia; Primates; Hominidae
Description: HSALNT0306783
Source: RNAcentral